UGGCGGACGGGUGAGUAACGCGUGGGUAACCUGCCUCACACUGGGGGACAACAGUUAGAAAUGACUGCUAAUACCGCAUAAGCGCACAGGACCGCAUGGUCCGGUGUGAAAAACUCCGGUGGUGUGAGAUGGACCCGCGUUUGAUUAGCUAGUUGGUGGGGUAACGGCCUACCAAGGCGACGAUCAAUAGCCGACCUGAGAGGGUGACCGGCCACAUUGGGACUGAGACACGGCCCAA
Molecule: ribosomal RNA, 238 nt
Filed under: uncultured bacterium
Lineage: Bacteria
Description: partial 16S ribosomal RNA
Rfam family: Bacterial small subunit ribosomal RNA
Source: RNAcentral